This 390-nucleotide unclassified non-coding RNA is filed under the name soil metagenome. Its description in RNAcentral is "partial internal transcribed spacer 1". The record is from RNAcentral.
UCAAAUCUCCAAAACCAAAAAGGAGAAAAAGAACCAAAAAUUCUUUUUGGUUUUUUUUUCAAAUUUUUGGAUCUUUGGUUUUUCGUAUUGUUUCUUUUUUUGGGUUAAAUGGCCAAAGUACUGUGUGAACUUGUUUUCAUUUUACUUGGCGGAAAUGUGUUUGCCCGACCGUGUUUUUUGACAGCGGAACUUUUGGCCUGCCCCCCAACUGUCAGCACGUCGCGCCGCUUUCAACUUUUAACAAAAGGUUGAAACCAUUCCGCCAAAGGAUUUUCUCUUUCAGGAGAAUUUUCCACCAAUUGUACAAACUCUGUGUAAAUAUUUUCAAAUUCUGUCUGAAUUUUUUGUUUUCGGCUUGUGCUGAAAAAGAAAAAAUACAAAUAGAAAAAA